UACGAACCGUGCAAACGUUGUUCGGAAUCACUGGGCUUAAAGGGCGCGUAGGCGGGCCACCAAGUCCGGGGUGAAAUCUUUCGGCUCAACCGGAAAAGUGCCUUGGAUACUGGUGGUCUUGAGCGAGGUAGGGGCAUGUGGAACUUCCGGUGGAGCGGUGAAAUGCGUUGAUAUCGGAAGGAACUCCGGUGGCGAAAGCGACGUGCUGGACCUCUUCUGACGCUGAGGCGCGAAAGCUAGGGGAGCGAACGGG
RNAcentral lists this ribosomal RNA (253 nucleotides) under uncultured bacterium. Its description in RNAcentral is "partial 16S ribosomal RNA". It matches the Rfam family "Bacterial small subunit ribosomal RNA", at positions 524 to 776 of the family's 1533-position model. The record is from RNAcentral.